RNAcentral lists this ribosomal RNA (927 nucleotides) under Xenocamarosporium acaciae. RNAcentral describes it as "SSU rRNA". It matches the Rfam family "Eukaryotic small subunit ribosomal RNA", at positions 121 to 1056 of the family's 1831-position model. The record is from RNAcentral. Lineage: Eukaryota; Fungi; Ascomycota; Dothideomycetes; Pleosporales; Didymosphaeriaceae.
UUGAUAGUACCUUACUACUUGGAUAACCCGUGGUAAUUCUAGAGCUAAUACAUGCUAAAAACCCCAACUUCGGGAGGGGUGUAUUUAUUAGAUAAAAAACCAAUGCCCUUCGGGGCUCCUUGGUGAUUCAUGAUAACUUCUCAGAUCGCAUGGCCUUGUGCUGGCGACGGUUCAUUCAAAUUUCUGCCCUAUCAACUUUCGAUGGUAAGGUAUUGGCUUACCAUGGUUUCAACGGGUAACGGGGAAUUAGGGUUCGAUUCCGGAGAGGGAGCCUGAGAAACGGCUACCACAUCCAAGGAAGGCAGCAGGCGCGCAAAUUACCCAAUUCCGAUACGGAGAGGUAGUGACAAUAAAUACUGAUACAGGGCUCUUUUGGGUCUUGUAAUUGGAAUGAGUACAAUUUAAACCUCUUAACGAGGAACAAUUGGAGGGCAAGUCUGGUGCCAGCAGCCGCGGUAAUUCCAGCUCCAAUAGCGUAUAUUAAAGUUGUUGCAGUUAAAAAGCUCGUAGUUGAACCUUUGGCCUGGCUGGCAGGUCCGCCUCACCGCGUGCACUUGUCCGGCCGGGCCUUUUCUUCUGGAGAACCGCAUGCCCUUCACUGGGUGUGUUGGGGACCAGGACUUUUACUUUGAAAAAAUUAGAGUGUUCAAAGCAGGCCUUUGCUCGAAUACGUUAGCAUGGAAUAAUAGAAUAGGACGUGCGGUCCUAUUUUGUUGGUUUCUAGGACCGCCGUAAUGAUUAAUAGGGACAGUCGGGGGCAUCAGUAUUCAAUUGUCAGAGGUGAAAUUCUUGGAUUUAUUGAAGACUAACUACUGCGAAAGCAUUUGCCAAGGAUGUUUUCAUUAAUCAGUGAACGAAAGUUAGGGGAUCGAAGACGAUCAGAUACCGUCGUAGUCUUAACCAUAAACUAUGCCGACUAGGGAUCGG